UACGGAGGGGACUAGCGUUGUUCGGAAUUACUGGGCGUAAAGCGCACGUAGGCGGAUUUGUAAGUCAGGGGUGAAAUCCCGGGGCUCAACCUCGGAACUGCCUUUGAUACUGCAAAUCUCGAGUCCGGAAGAGGUGAGUGGAAUUCCUGGUGUAGCGGUGAAAUGCGCAGAUAUCAGGAGGAACACCAAUGGCGAAGGCAGCUCGCUGGAACGGUACUGACGCUGAGGCGCGAAAGCGUGGGGAGCGAACAGG
This 253-nucleotide ribosomal RNA is filed under the name uncultured bacterium. Its description in RNAcentral is "partial 16S ribosomal RNA". It matches the Rfam family "Bacterial small subunit ribosomal RNA", at positions 524 to 776 of the family's 1533-position model. The record is from RNAcentral.